Sorex fumeus (smoky shrew) is the source of this 607-nucleotide long non-coding RNA. RefSeq lists it as uncharacterized. The transcript has 2 exons. NCBI's taxonomy places the organism in Eukaryota, Metazoa, Chordata, Mammalia, Eulipotyphla, Soricidae. The record is from RefSeq and is a predicted model, not a curated record.
AGUUGAUGCAGGAUUACAAGAGGAAUCGUCCGAUGUUACACGAACUGUUACCCUACUCGGUGACCAGCUACCGAGUUUAAGAAGACAACGCACUCUAAAAUGUGAUUGGAAUACUUCUGCAUUUGUAUAACUCCUGUACCUUAUUAUGAGUCUAAAUCUCCAUGGGAAAAGCCUGCCAAAAAUUCAGAAAACAAAACAGAAUAGCCCAACAACAACACGCUGUACAUGUCGUCAUGAAGGCUAAGCUGGCUGCAAAACAAAAAGGGGGAGAUGUUGGAGCCCGACCAGAGUCAUGAGGAAGUUCCUACAGACACUGCCUUGCUUUCAGUGUCAUGCUGGAAGCAGCUUGGAACUCUGAUUGAACUGGGCAGGGGUCAGCAUGUCAUGAUGCAGCUUCUUCUUGACACUGAUUGAUUAUGCUAUGCUUUGUUUAGGCAAAGUUAGAGGGGACAUCCUGUCUAGACGGAAAUGUAGAUGAUUGAAAUAUGGGGAUGGGAGGUUAAUCAUCGACAGAGCAAGAUCAAUAGCCUUUUGUCCACAUGGAUUUGGUGAUGCAUCCCCUAGUGUACUGUAUUACAAUAAAAGAAGGUUGCUGGGUUUGAUUAAU